GCAAGUCGAACGGAAACGAAGAAGAGCUUGCUCUUCAGGCGUCGAGUGGCGGACGGGUGCGUAACGCGUAGGAAUCUACCUUAUAGUGGGGGACAACUCGAGGAAACUCGAGCUAAUACCGCAUAAUCCUUACGAGGGAAAGCGGGGGAUCUUCGGACCUCGCGCUAUUGGAUGAGCCUGCGUCGGAUUAGCUAGUUGGUAGGGUAAUGGCCUACCAAGGCGACGAUCCGUAGCUGGUCUGAGAGGAUGAUC
Molecule: ribosomal RNA, 252 nt
Filed under: uncultured bacterium
Lineage: Bacteria
Description: partial 16S ribosomal RNA
Rfam family: Bacterial small subunit ribosomal RNA
Source: RNAcentral